This 253-nucleotide ribosomal RNA is filed under the name uncultured bacterium. Its description in RNAcentral is "partial 16S ribosomal RNA". It matches the Rfam family "Bacterial small subunit ribosomal RNA", at positions 524 to 776 of the family's 1533-position model. The record is from RNAcentral.
UACGUAGGUGGCAAGCGUUGUCCGGAAUUAUUGGGCGUAAAGCGCGCGCAGGCGGUCCUUUAAGUCUGAUGUGAAAGCCCACGGCUCAACCGUGGAGGGUCAUUGGAAACUGGGGGACUUGAGUGCAGGAGAGAAGAGUGGAAUUCCACGUGUAGCGGUGAAAUGCGUAGAGAUCCGGAAGAACACCGGAGGCGAAGGCGGCUUGCUGGGCUUGGUCUGACGCUGAGGCGCGAAAGCGUGGGGAGCGAACAGG